RNAcentral lists this transfer RNA (74 nucleotides) under Actinobacteria bacterium BACL4 MAG-120813-bin39. RNAcentral describes it as "tRNA-Cys". It matches the Rfam family "tRNA". From Rfam's summary of the family: Transfer RNA (tRNA) molecules are approximately 80 nucleotides in length. Their secondary structure includes four short double-helical elements and three loops (D, anti-codon, and T loops). Further hydrogen bonds mediate the characteristic L-shaped molecular structure. tRNAs have two regions of fundamental functional importance: the anti-codon, which is responsible for specific mRNA codon recognition, and the 3' end, to which the tRNAs corresponding amino acid is attached (by aminoacyl-tRNA synthetases). tRNAs cope with the degeneracy of the genetic code in two manners: having more than one tRNA (with a specific anti-codon) for a particular amino acid; and 'wobble' base-pairing, i.e. permitting non-standard base-pairing at the 3rd anti-codon position. RNAcentral also lists the same sequence under 15 other names. Lineage: Bacteria; Bacillati; Actinomycetota; Actinomycetes. The record is from RNAcentral.
GGUCGGAUGGCCGAGAGGCGAGGCUCGGGACUGCAAAUCCCGCUACACGGGUUCAAAUCCCGUUCCGACCUCCA